Molecule: ribosomal RNA, 847 nt
Filed under: uncultured bacterium
Lineage: Bacteria
Description: bacterial SSU rRNA
Rfam family: Bacterial small subunit ribosomal RNA
Source: RNAcentral
GCGGCGCGCCUAACACAUGCAAGUCGAACGAGACAUGAAGAGCUUGCUCUUCAAAUCGAGUGGCGAACGGGUGAGUAACGCGUGAGGAACCUGCCUCAAAGAGGGGGACAACAGUUGGAAACGACUGCUAAUACCGCAUAAGCCCACGGCUCGGCAUCGAGCAGAGGGAAAAGGAGCAAUCCGCUUUGAGAUGGCCUCGCGUCCGAUUAGCUAGUUGGUGAGGUAACGGCCCACCAAGGCGACGAUCGGUAGCCGGACUGAGAGGUUGAACGGCCACAUUGGGACUGAGACACGGCCCAGACUCCUACGGGAGGCAGCAGUGGGGAAUAUUGCACAAUGGGGGAAACCCUGAUGCAGCGACGCCGCGUGGAGGAAGAAGGUCUUCGGAUUGUAAACUCCUGUUGUUGAGGAAGAUAAUGACGGUACUCAACAAGGAAGUGACGGCUAACUACGUGCCAGCAGCCGCGGUAAAACGUAGGUCACAAGCGUUGUCCGGAAUUACUGGGUGUAAAGGGAGCGCAGGCGGGAGAACAAGUUGGAAGUGAAAUCCAUGGGCUCAACCCAUGAACUGCUUUCAAAACUGUUUUUCUUGAGUAGUGCAGAGGUAGGCGGAAUUCCCGGUGUAGCGGUGGAAUGCGUAGAUAUCGGGAGGAACACCAGUGGCGAAGGCGGCCUACUGGGCACCAACUGACGCUGAGGCUCGAAAGUGUGGGUAGCAAACAGGAUUAGAUACCCUGGUAGUCCACACCGUAAACGAUGAUUACUAGGUGUUGGAGGAUUGACCCCUUCAGUGCCGCAGUUAACACAAUAAGUAAUCCACCUGGGGAGUACGACCGCAAGGUUGCAA